GUGGAUUAGUGGCGAACGGGUGAGUAACACGUGGGCAAUCUGCCCUGCACUCUGGGACAAGCCCUGGAAACGGGGUCUAAUACCGGAUAUGACUGUCCGCCGCAUGGUGGAUGGUGUAAAGCUCCGGCGGUGCAGGAUGAGCCCGCGGCCUAUCAGCUAGUUGGUGAGGUAGUGGCUCACCAAGGCGACGACGGGUAGCCGGCCUGAGAGGGCGACCGGCCACACUGGGACUGAGACACGGCCCAGACUCCUACGGGAGGCAGCAGUGGGGAAUAUUGCACAAUGGGCGAAAGCCUGAUGCAGCGACGCCGCGUGAGGGAUGACGGCCUUCGGGUUGUAAACCUCUUUCAGCAGGGAAGAAGCGAAAGUGACGGUACCUGCAGAAGAAGCGCCGGCUAACUACGUGCCAGCAGCCGCGGUAAUACGUAGGGCGCAAGCGUUGUCCGGAAUUAUUGGGCGUAAAGAGCUCGUAGGCGGCUUGUCACGUCGGUUGUGAAAGCCCGGGGCUUAACCCCGGGUCUGCAGUCGAUACGGGCAGGCUAGAGUUCGGUAGGGGAGAUCGGAAUUCCUGGUGUAGCGGUGAAAUGCGCAGAUAUCAGGAGGAACACCGGUGGCGAAGGCGGAUCUCUGGGCCGAUACUGACGCUGAGGAGCGAAAGCGUGGGGAGCGAACAGGAUUAGAUACCCUGGUAGUCCACGCCGUAAACGGUGGGCACUAGGUGUGGGCAACAUUCCACGUUGUCCGUGCCGCAGCUAACGCAUUAAGUGCCCCGCCUGGGGA
RNAcentral lists this ribosomal RNA (780 nucleotides) under Streptomyces intermedius. Its description in RNAcentral is "bacterial SSU rRNA". It matches the Rfam family "Bacterial small subunit ribosomal RNA", at positions 87 to 879 of the family's 1533-position model. The record is from RNAcentral. Lineage: Bacteria; Bacillati; Actinomycetota; Actinomycetes; Kitasatosporales; Streptomycetaceae.